CUGUGAGAGGCACACUGAAAUGAGCACUACAGACCCUAGGAGGGGAGGGUUCAAGUAGAGUCAGGGAAGGUCCUAGGGGAGGUGGUCUCUGAACUCAAGGGCAGGUUGCCAAAGAGGAGGAGUUGGGAGAGCAUUGAUGACCGGCAGAGAAGUCAAUGCGCAGAGGUCAGAUGAGAGAGUGACAAGGAGGAAACAAGGCAGGCUGGAGCAGAGAGGACCACAGGAGCACCAUGUCAUGCUUCACCCAGAAAUCAGUCUUUGGAAUAUGAGUGUGCUACAUGUGACUGUUGGCAGAUCACCUGAUGGAGACUUAGGAUAAUGGGUGGUGCAGGCUGCGAGUCCAUGGGCAUGCCUUAAACACACCCUUACCUUAUGUCCCCCUGUCCCUGACCCAGUGCCCGCAACUGGGCUUUUACAUGGUACUAAGCACUAAAUAAAUACCUUUUGAAUGAUGGACUAAAU
Molecule: long non-coding RNA, 462 nt
Filed under: Homo sapiens (human)
Lineage: Eukaryota; Metazoa; Chordata; Mammalia; Primates; Hominidae
Description: HSALNT0394144
Source: RNAcentral